RNAcentral lists this ribosomal RNA (400 nucleotides) under Streptomyces sp. RNAcentral's name for it is "bacterial SSU rRNA". It matches the Rfam family "Bacterial small subunit ribosomal RNA", at positions 171 to 585 of the family's 1533-position model. Lineage: Bacteria; Bacillati; Actinomycetota; Actinomycetes; Kitasatosporales; Streptomycetaceae. The record is from RNAcentral.
GGAUAACACUCCCAUUCUCCUGGAUGGGGGUUAAAAGCUCCGGCGGUGAAGGAUGAGCCCGCGGCCUAUCAGCUUGUUGGUGAGGUAAUGGCUCACCAAGGCGACGACGGGUAGCCGGCCUGAGAGGGCGACCGGCCACACUGGGACUGAGACACGGCCCAGACUCCUACGGGAGGCAGCAGUGGGGAAUAUUGCACAAUGGGCGAAAGCCUGAUGCAGCGACGCCGCGUGAGGGAUGACGGCCUUCGGGUUGUAAACCUCUUUCAGCAGGGAAGAAGCGAAAGUGACGGUACCUGCAGAAGAAGCGCCGGCUAACUACGUGCCAGCAGCCGCGGUAAUACGUAGGGCGCAAGCGUUGUCCGGAAUUAUUGGGCGUAAAGAGCUCGUAGGCGGCUUGUCA